RNAcentral lists this unclassified non-coding RNA (332 nucleotides) under soil metagenome. RNAcentral describes it as "partial contains 5.8S ribosomal RNA, internal transcribed spacer 2, and large subunit ribosomal RNA". The stretch from base 1 to 120 matches the Rfam family "5.8S ribosomal RNA", at positions 35 to 154 of the family's 154-position model. The record is from RNAcentral.
GAUGAAGAACGUAGCGAAAUGCGAUAAGUAGUGUGAAUCGCAGAAUUCAGUGAAUCAUCGAAUCUUUGAACGCACAUUGCGCCCUUUGGUAUUCCUUAGGGCAUGCCUGUUCGAGCGUCAUUUAAACCUUCAAGCUAAGCUUGGUGUUGGGUGACUGUCCGCUUCACUGCGGACUCGCCUCAAAAUUAUUGGCGGCCGGUACAUUGGCUUCGAGCGCAGCAGAAACGCGAACUCGGGCCCGUCGUAUUGGCUCCCAGAAGCUAUCUUCACAAUUUUGACCUCGGAUCAGGUAGGGAUACCCGCUGAACUUAAGCAUAUCAAUAAGCGGAGGA